CGGUUGGGUAGCCUGCAAUCCCUGGGAAUUCCCCAGUUGGUGGAGCUACAUUAUAUUCACUGCCUCCCACAGGUGGGAAGCCUCCAGGCACCGCAGGGUAAGAAUACUGGCUAGCGGGUGGAUAAACAGACUCCUGUCCUGAUAACCAGGAAAAGAUGGGUAGCCAGAUGGAGGAUAUCCUGGGUAGGACAUUCUGUAAAGUGGCUACGAAACUCGGCGUCCCCUCCGGCCACCGACGCUCUCGGGACGAAGAGCAAAAUGGAGACGGGCGAGGCGAGCCUGUUUCCGCCCCUUUCCUGCUCCGUAGGGCAGGGAACGUUUUCGCCCCGCCUGCCCCGCCGGCCUUCCGCCUUCCUCUGGGCCACCGGGGAGGCCAAAAGCGGAGGAGCCUCCGGAAGGACGGACUUCGGCAUCGGCCGCGCAUCCUUCGCCCUCCUCGGCCCGGAUGCUCAUCGGGCGCCGCUCCUUGAGCUUUAGCCUCCCUCGCUCCCUUCGAAGGAGCGCGGCGCUGCCGCAAAGGCUCUUUCGGGGAAAAACGCGCGGGCUGGAUCGGGAGUCAACCCUGUGGCCUAGGCCCUGUCCGCCCACGUC
Molecule: long non-coding RNA, 591 nt
Organism: Ahaetulla prasina
Lineage: Eukaryota; Metazoa; Chordata; Lepidosauria; Squamata; Colubridae
Exons: 3
Source: RefSeq, a predicted model, not a curated record